Molecule: ribosomal RNA, 483 nt
Filed under: uncultured bacterium
Lineage: Bacteria
Description: bacterial SSU rRNA
Rfam family: Bacterial small subunit ribosomal RNA
Source: RNAcentral
GAGUUUGAUCCUGGCUCAGAAUCAACGCUGGCGGCGUGCCUAACACAUGCAAGUCGCACGAGAAAGUGGAGCAAUCCAUGAGUAAAGUGGCGCACGGGUGAGUAACACGUGAAUGAUCUACCUCCGAGUGGGGAAUAACUGAGAGAAAUCUUAGCUAAUACCGCAUAAUACCCACGGGUCAAAGCAGCAAUGCGCUUGGAGAGGAGUUCGCGGCCGAUUAGUUAGUUGGCGGGGUAAUGGCCCACCAAGACGAUGAUCGGUAUCCGGCCUGAGAGGGCGCACGGACACACUGGAACUGAAACACGGUCCAGACUCCUACGGAGGCAGCAGUGGGGAAUUUUGCGCAAUGGGGGAAACCCUGACGCAGCAACGCCGCGUGGAGGAUGAAGCCCCCUUGGGGUGUAAACUCCUUUCGAUCGGGAAGAUAAUGACGGUACCGAUAUAAGAAGCCCCGGCUAACUUCGUGCCAGCCGCCGCAGUAAU